Molecule: ribosomal RNA, 396 nt
Filed under: uncultured eukaryote
Lineage: Eukaryota
Description: SSU rRNA
Rfam family: Eukaryotic small subunit ribosomal RNA
Source: RNAcentral
UAAAACGCUCGUAGUCGAACUUCGGGCCUGGCGGGAUGGUCCGCCUUACGGUGUGCACUGUCCGGCCGGGCCUUACCUCCUGGUGAGGCCUCAUGCCCUUUACUGGGUGUGGGGUGGAGCCAGGAAUUUUACCUUGAGAAAAUUAGAGUGUUCAAAGCAGGCAAACGCCCGAAUACAUUAGCAUGGAAUAAUAGAAUAGGACGUGCGGUUCUAUUUUGUUGGUUUCUAGAGUCGCCGUAAUGAUUAAUAGGGACGGUCGGGGGCAUUAGUAUUCCGUUGCUAGAGGUGAAAUUCUUAGAUUGACGGAAGACUAACAACUGCGAAAGCAUUUGCCAAGGACGUUUUCAUUGAUCACGAACGAAGGUCAGGGGAUCAAAAACGAUUAGAUACCGUUGU